This is a long non-coding RNA of Oncorhynchus keta (chum salmon), 2017 nucleotides long. RefSeq lists it as uncharacterized. The transcript is spliced from 3 exons. The record is from RefSeq and is a predicted model, not a curated record. Lineage: Eukaryota; Metazoa; Chordata; Actinopteri; Salmoniformes; Salmonidae.
CAAUCAACAGGUUGACCAUAGCUUGUAUCAACAUUAGAAUCAAUCAACAGGUUGACCAUAGCCUGCAUCAACAUUAGAAUCCAUCAACAGGUUGACCAUAGCUUGUAUCAACAGUAUAAACCAUCAACAGGUUGACCAUAGCCUGUAUCAACAUUAGAAUCCAUCAACAGGUUGACCAUAGCUUGUAUCAACAGUAGAAUCAAUCAACAGGUUGACCAUAGCUUGUAUCAACAUUAGAAUCAAUCAACAGGUUGACCAUAGCCUGCAUCAACAUUAGAAUCCAUCAACAGGUUGACCAUAGCUUGUAUCAACAGUAUAAACCAUCAACAGGUUGACCAUAGCUUGUAUCAACAUUAGAAUCAAUCAACAGGUUGACCAUAGCCUGCAUCAACAUUAGAAUCCAUCAACAGGUUGACCAUAGCUUGUAUCAACAGUAUAAACCAUCAACAGGUUAGACCAUAGCCUGUAUCAACAUUAGAAUCCAUCAACAGGUUGACCAUAGCCUGUAUCAACAUUAGAAUCGAAGCAUCUCUGGGCUGGCUGCCAGCAACAGCUUGGAUGUAUCUCAUUCUCAAUCUCUUAAAAAUCCUCCCUCUCAUAAUUUUCCCCCCUUCAUCUGCACUGUUUGGAAAAUGUUUAACCUGGUCAGUUCUUGCAGAUCAGUGCAAUGAAGGAGAGGAUGAAUUUUUAGAUAGAGCCACAGUGUGCUCUGUGUGUGUCAUCACUGUCUUCAUGGAGAGGCAGGAAACACAGAUUAUGUCAGGUACUCCUCUGGUGGCCAACAGCGCCACCCUGUGGCUCAAGUCUUCUAUUGCAACAACAAAAACGUUUUGUACACUACAGUAUUAUAGACUACAUUAUCCACAUAAUUAUUAUUACUACACACUAUCAUACACAUUUCUCAACCAUUGAAAUAAGAAGGCUUUUUUUUUUUACUUGACAAUUCACAUAAAUAAAUGUAUUAUUAGUGCCAUUGAUUGAUCAGAGUGCUUAUCGAAGAACAUGAUUAGAGGAAUGUACAAUAACAAUUAACCCUACAUUUCCCAUUGAUCCAUUUCUGAACAACGGUCAACAGAUAUCAACAUAUAUAAUGGCUUGCGGCACACCUGGGUAGUGUUCAAUAGGUCACACCGUAGCAAAACAUUUUGCAACGGAAAACUACAAUCUGUGCUCACAUUUUCAGGUAGUACCUUAGUACACAUUCAGGCUGUACCUCCCUGUUUCAAUUGUUUGUUUUUUUAACAGUUGUUUUCACUCUGCUUUUCCUCCCAAAUGAACACAACCCGGCUUGAUAACAGCUGGUUUCACUCUGCUUUUAAAAAUGUUUUCCCUAAUGAACACAACCCGGCUUGAUAACAGCUGCUUUCACUCUGCUUUUAAAAACGUUUUCCCUAAUGAACACAACCCGGCUUGGUAACAGCUGGUUGACCAAGCGCAACAACGUGCCCUCUUAUAUGUGUGUGUGUAUUCCCUCUUGUGUGUGUGUGUGUGUGCCUUCAUCCAUGACAUCACAAGAGGAUUCAUCACCAUGGCACUGUGUUGCCGGGGCCGGUUGCCAAAGUGGGUAUCACAUCUAUUUAUAACACUAGGGGUCACCUGGACUGGCUGGGGAGCACUACCACACACACACACACACACACACACACACACACACACACACACACACACACACACACACACACACACACACACACACACACACACACACACACACUGCCUGAUGAUCAAACGCUAGCUGCUUGGCUUAUCUGCCUUCAGAUGAAUCACCCCCUGCCUGCCUUCUAAGGCUGAAUUCAAAUGGAGGCCCUCCUUCUUCAUUUGUGCCUCUGAGUGAUGUAGGACGAGGCCUGACAUCAACAUUGGUAGUGGCUCUGCUUAGGGCCAUGGUUUUGUUUGGAUUAGGGGAGAUGUGGGUAAGGUUGUUUUAGAAUAGAAUGAAAGUGUGUUUAGGCUCAGAGAUGUUCUAUGUUAUGGGGAGUGGGGGGGGGCUGUACAGCUAGGUGAACAGCAGAGAGAG